UACGUAGGGUGCAAGCGUUAAUCGGAAUUACUGGGCGUAAAGCGUGCGCAGGUGGUUUUGUAAGUCAGAUGUGAAAUCCCCGGGCUUAACCUGGGAACUGCGUUUGAAACUACAAGGCUAGAGUGUGGCAGAGGGGGGUGGAAUUCCGCGUGUAGCAGUGAAAUGCGUAGAUAUGUGGAGGAACACCGAUGGCGAAGGCAGCCCCCUGGGUCAACACUGACGCUCAGGCACGAAAGCAUGGGGAGCAAACAGG
This 253-nucleotide ribosomal RNA is filed under the name uncultured bacterium. RNAcentral's name for it is "partial 16S ribosomal RNA". It matches the Rfam family "Bacterial small subunit ribosomal RNA", at positions 524 to 776 of the family's 1533-position model. The record is from RNAcentral.